AACGAACGCUAUCGGUAUGCUUAACACAUGCAAGUCGGACGGACUAAUUAGGGCUUGCUCCCCUUAGUUAGUGGCAGACGGGUGAGUAACACGUGGGAAUCUGCCCAUCAGUACGGAAUAACUUUUAGAAAUAAAAGCUAAUACCGUAUAUUCUCUACAGAGGAAAGAUUUAUCGCUGAUGGAUGAGCCCGCGUCAGAUUAGGUAGUUGGUGAGGUAACGGCUCACCAAGCCGACGAUCUGUAGCUGGUCUGAGAGGAUGAUCAGCCACACUGGGACUGAGACACGGCCCAGACUCCUACGGGAGGCAGCAGUGGGGAAUAUUGGACAAUGGGCGAAAGCCUGAUCAAGCAAUACCGAGUGAGUGAUAAAGGCCCUAGGGUUGUAAAGCUCUUUUAGCAAGGAAGAUAAUGACGUUACUUGCAGAAAAAGCCCCGGCUAACUCCGUG
This 447-nucleotide ribosomal RNA is filed under the name uncultured bacterium. RNAcentral describes it as "partial 16S ribosomal RNA". It matches the Rfam family "Bacterial small subunit ribosomal RNA", at positions 29 to 507 of the family's 1533-position model. The record is from RNAcentral.